GGACCCGUAGUUCAGCUGUAUAGAACGUCAGAUUCCGGUUCUGAAGGUCGUGGGUUAGAAUCCCGCCGGGUUCA
Molecule: transfer RNA, 74 nt
Filed under: Paludibacteraceae bacterium
Lineage: Bacteria; Pseudomonadati; Bacteroidota; Bacteroidia; Bacteroidales; Paludibacteraceae
Also listed under: 1 other name
Description: tRNA-Arg
Rfam family: tRNA
About the family: Transfer RNA (tRNA) molecules are approximately 80 nucleotides in length. Their secondary structure includes four short double-helical elements and three loops (D, anti-codon, and T loops).
Source: RNAcentral